RNAcentral lists this ribosomal RNA (1737 nucleotides) under Salmonella enterica subsp. enterica serovar Dublin. Its description in RNAcentral is "partial 23S ribosomal RNA". It matches the Rfam family "Bacterial large subunit ribosomal RNA", at positions 1223 to 2925 of the family's 2925-position model. Lineage: Bacteria; Pseudomonadati; Pseudomonadota; Gammaproteobacteria; Enterobacterales; Enterobacteriaceae. The record is from RNAcentral.
GUUGGGUAGGGGAGCGUUCUGUAAGCCUGUGAAGGUGGCCUGUGAGGGUUGCUGGAGGUAUCAGAAGUGCGAAUGCUGACAUAAGUAACGAUAAAGCGGGUGAAAAGCCCGCUCGCCGGAAGACCAAGGGUUCCUGUCCAACGUUAAUCGGGGCAGGGUGAGUCGACCCCUAAGGCGAGGCCGAAAGGCGUAGUCGAUGGGAAACGGGUUAAUAUUCCCGUACUUGGUGUUACUGCGAAGGGGGGACGGAGAAGGCUAUGUUGGCCGGGCGACGGUUGUCCCGGUUUAAGCGUGUAGGUGUGUGUUCCAGGUAAAUCCGGUUCACUUUAACACUGAGGCGUGAUGACGAGGCACUACGGUGCUGAAGUAACAAAUGCCCUGCUUCCAGGAAAAGCCUCUAAGCAUCAGGUAACAUCAAAUCGUACCCCAAACCGACACAGGUGGUCAGGUAGAGAAUACCAAGGCGCUUGAGAGAACUCGGGUGAAGGAACUAGGCAAAAUGGUGCCGUAACUUCGGGAGAAGGCACGCUGACACGUAGGUGAAGUGAUUUACUCAUGGAGCUGAAGUCAGUCGAAGAUACCAGCUGGCUGCAACUGUUUAUUAAAAACACAGCACUGUGCAAACACGAAAGUGGACGUAUACGGUGUGACGCCUGCCCGGUGCCGGAAGGUUAAUUGAUGGGGUCAGCGCAAGCGAAGCUCCUGAUCGAAGCCCCGGUAAACGGCGGCCGUAACUAUAACGGUCCUAAGGUAGCGAAAUUCCUUGUCGGGUAAGUUCCGACCUGCACGAAUGGCGUAAUGAUGGCCAGGCUGUCUCCACCCGAGACUCAGUGAAAUUGAACUCGCUGUGAAGAUGCAGUGUACCCGCGGCAAGACGGAAAGACCCCGUGAACCUUUACUAUAGCUUGACACUGAACAUUGAGCCUUGAUGUGUAGGAUAGGUGGGAGGCUUUGAAGUGUGGACGCCAGUCUGCAUGGAGCCGACCUUGAAAUACCACCCUUUAAUGUUUGAUGUUCUAACGUGGACCCGUGAUCCGGGUUGCGGACAGUGUCUGGUGGGUAGUUUGACUGGGGCGGUCUCCUCCUAAAGAGUAACGGAGGAGCACGAAGGUUGGCUAAUCCUGGUCGGACAUCAGGAGGUUAGUGCAAUGGCAUAAGCCAGCUUGACUGCGAGCGUGACGGCGCGAGCAGGUGCGAAAGCAGGUCAUAGUGAUCCGGUGGUUCUGAAUGGAAGGGCCAUCGCUCAACGGAUAAAAGGUACUCCGGGGAUAACAGGCUGAUACCGCCCAAGAGUUCAUAUCGACGGCGGUGUUUGGCACCUCGAUGUCGGCUCAUCACAUCCUGGGGCUGAAGUAGGUCCCAAGGGUAUGGCUGUUCGCCAUUUAAAGUGGUACGCGAGCUGGGUUUAGAACGUCGUGAGACAGUUCGGUCCCUAUCUGCCGUGGGCGCUGGAGAACUGAGGGGGGCUGCUCCUAGUACGAGAGGACCGGAGUGGACGCAUCACUGGUGUUCGGGUUGUCAUGCCAAUGGCACUGCCCGGUAGCUAAAUGCGGAAGAGAUAAGUGCUGAAAGCAUCUAAGCACGAAACUUGCCCCGAGAUGAGUUCUCCCUGAGACUUAAAGUCUCCUGAAGGAACGUUGAAGACGACGACGUUGAUAGGCCGGGUGUGUAAGCGCAGCGAUGCGUUGAGCUAACCGGUACUAAUGAACCGUGAGGCUUAACCCUACAACGCCGAAG